CUCGUACGCGCGGCCGCCGCGGGCAACGCCGCAGCUGCCUGGCAACGCGCUAGACCCGACCCGGCUCUGCAACUGCGGCCUCCAGAAGCCGCGAGAGGGCAGAACUCCCCGGAAGAGGUGGUUACCGGGCACUUUUUUCACGAUUGCUACCAGAGGUG
Long non-coding RNA from Lontra canadensis (Northern American river otter), 158 nucleotides. RefSeq lists it as uncharacterized. Lineage: Eukaryota; Metazoa; Chordata; Mammalia; Carnivora; Mustelidae. The record is from RefSeq and is a predicted model, not a curated record. The transcript is spliced from 2 exons.